Molecule: ribosomal RNA, 406 nt
Filed under: uncultured bacterium
Lineage: Bacteria
Description: partial 16S ribosomal RNA
Rfam family: Bacterial small subunit ribosomal RNA
Source: RNAcentral
AUUGAACGCUGGCGGCAGGCCUAACACAUGCAAGUCGAACGAGUGGCGGACGGGUGAGUAAUGUCUGGGAAACUGCCUGAUGGAGGGGGAUCACUACUGUAAACGGUAGCUAAUACCGCCUAACAUCGUAUGUGCCCAGAUGGGUUUAGCGAGUAGGGGGGGUAAAGGCUCACCUAGGCGACGAUCCCUAGCUGGUCUGAGAGGAUGACCAGCCACACUGGAACUGAGACACGGUCCAGACUCCUACGGGAGGCAGCAGUGGGGAAUAUUGCACAAUGGGCGCAAGCCUGAUGCAGCCAUGCCGCGUGUAGGAAGAAGGCCUUCGGGUUGUAAAGUACGUUCAGCGGGGAGGCGUUACCCGAAGAAGAAGCACCGGCUAACUCCGGGCCAGAAGCCGCGGUAAUAC